CUGAUGCUUCUAAUGGUGGUGGGAAGGCUUCCUGCAGGAUGAUAGAAGGAGGUGGGGCAGGACUCAAACCACAGCAACGGGGACUUCAAGCCACGUUCUCAGGGACCAUCCUAUCGCGGGGCACAAUUACAAACAGUUAUCUGUCUGUCAUUACAAGCCUGAAGUCUUUGCAGACGUGGACCUGUAAAAAUUCAAGUCAAGAUCUGGAAAUGAGACAUUUCUAACUAAGGAAAUGCUCUUCAAAACUUAGAAUUUUUACCAGCGACCCUCCAGCAAAAUGCUCUAUUAUCAGCUUCCUACAGACCUCUUGAGAGCCACCCUCAGGCAUUAUUCCGGAAGCAAUCCUCCCCGGCUCACUUCCCUGGCUGGGCCGCCCUUCAUGAGGGAUUGAUUUUUUUUUUAAUUUGAGAAAUGAGUACCUCAUCACGUACAAACGUCACAUCACUUCCUGCCUCAUUGUCACCUUGGAAUAUUCUCUCCACCGCUUCUCCGGAACAGUGUGUCAUAGACACCCUCCAGAGGAGCUUGGACUGCCACCAACAGUGUGUGGCAAACAUCCACACAUCUCAUCAGUAUCUUCAUUUCCCAUCUUGGAGUCAUGGUUGAGGUGCCUACAGUGAGAGAAAAGCACACAGAUCCAUCUGAUAUCCAUCUUCUGGGACAGGAAGAAUUCCUAAGGAAUGAAGACCCUAUUAAAGACAAUAAAGCAGAUUUUUAAAUAAUAA
This is a long non-coding RNA of Mus musculus (house mouse), 725 nucleotides long. RefSeq annotates it as predicted gene, 46943. The record is from RefSeq and is marked validated. Lineage: Eukaryota; Metazoa; Chordata; Mammalia; Rodentia; Muridae. The transcript has 2 exons.